This 303-nucleotide unclassified non-coding RNA is filed under the name Hevea brasiliensis (rubber tree). The record is from RNAcentral. Lineage: Eukaryota; Viridiplantae; Streptophyta; Magnoliopsida; Malpighiales; Euphorbiaceae.
AGGAGGAAUAACAGGCCCCUUAAUCUUACAAAAUCCUGUUUACGACUUUCAAAUUCCAAAAAGCCAACAUAUGUGUCCCAAACAAAACAAUACUUUUUUUUAAUUUUUUUGGGGGGGGAUCUCCUGAGAAACACUAAGACGGGCAGGAACUACAAUCAAUAUGAGAGAAGACAAACUGAUAAAUUUUUUUUUUCUUCUUAUUGAACGGCUUGUCUGGUUCCUGUCCUAACAAAACAAGUGGAGAGGAUAAUUCACAAUUCCAGUUUCAUUGAUUCACAGCGAGUUAAGAAACAAUCUAAAGCU